This 357-nucleotide ribosomal RNA is filed under the name uncultured Bacillota bacterium. Its description in RNAcentral is "bacterial SSU rRNA". It matches the Rfam family "Bacterial small subunit ribosomal RNA", at positions 430 to 803 of the family's 1533-position model. The record is from RNAcentral. Lineage: Bacteria; Bacillati; Bacillota.
CCGCUUUCAGCAGGAACGAAAAUGACGGUACCUGCAGAAGAAGGAGCGGCCAACUACGUGCCAGCAGCCGCGGUGACACGUAGGCUCCAAGCGUUGUCCGGAUUUAUUGGGCGUAAAGAGCUCGUANGCGGUUUAGUAAGUCGGGUGUUAAAACUCUGGGCUCAACCCGGAGAGGCCAUCCGAUACUGCUGUGACUUGAGUUCAGGAGGGGAGCGGGGAAUUCCUAGUGUAGCGGUGAAAUGCGCAGAUAUUAGGAGGAACACCGGUGGCGAAGGCGCCGCUCUGGACUGAAACUGACGCUGAGGAGCGAAAGCAUGGGUAGCAAACAGGAUUAGAUACCCUGGUAGUCCAUGCCGU